GUGGGGAAUAUUGGACAAUGGGCGAAAGCCUGAUCCAGCCAUGCCGCGUGUGUGAAGAAGGUCUUCGGAUUGUAAAGCACUUUAAGUUGGGAGGAAGGGCAGUAAGUUAAUACCUUGCUGUUUUGACGUUACCGACAGAAUAAGCACCGGCUAACUUCGUGCCAGCAGCCGCGGUAAUACGAAGGGUGCAAGCGUUAAUCGGAAUUACUGGGCGUAAAGCGCGCGUAGGUGGUUUUGUAAGUUGGAGGUGAAAUCCCCGGGCUCAACCUGGGAACUGCCUCCAAAACUGCAUGACUAGAGUAUGGUAGAGGGUAGUGGAAUUUCCUGUGUAGCGGUGAAAUGCGUAGAUAUAGGAAGGAACACCAGUGGCGAAGGCGACUACCUGGACUGAUACUGACACUGAGGUGCGAAAGCGUGGGGAGCAAACAGGAUUAGAUACCCGUGUAGUCC
RNAcentral lists this ribosomal RNA (450 nucleotides) under uncultured bacterium. RNAcentral's name for it is "bacterial SSU rRNA". It matches the Rfam family "Bacterial small subunit ribosomal RNA", at positions 354 to 796 of the family's 1533-position model. The record is from RNAcentral.